UGGGGAAUUUGGACGAAUUGGGCGAAAGCCUGAUCCAGCAAUGCCGCGUGUGUGAAGAAGGCCUUCGGGUUGUAAAGCACUUUUGUCCGGAAAGAAAUCCUUGGCUCUAAUACAGUCGGGGGAUGACGGUACCGGAAGAAUAAGCACCGGCUAACUACGUGCCAGCAGCCGCGGUAAUACGUAGGGUGCAAGCGUUAAUCGGAAUUACUGGGCGUAAAGCGUGCGCAGGCGGUUUGCUAAGACCGAUGUGAAAUCCCCGGGCUCAACCUGGGAACUGCAUUGGUGACUGGCAGGCUAGAGUAUGGCAGAGGGGGGUAGAAUUCCACGUGUAGCAGUGAAAUGCGUAGAGAUGUGGAGGAAUACCGAUGGCGAAGGCAGCCCCCUGGGCAAUACUGACGCUCAUGCACG
This 408-nucleotide ribosomal RNA is filed under the name uncultured bacterium. RNAcentral's name for it is "partial 16S ribosomal RNA". It matches the Rfam family "Bacterial small subunit ribosomal RNA", at positions 356 to 755 of the family's 1533-position model. The record is from RNAcentral.